UCAAGCUUAGAUUUAUUAAAAGAAUAAUAGCCAUUUUAAAAUAAUGCUCUACGUGUUUAUACUCUUGUGUUCUGCCAUUGUUACGGGCAAUGGUUUGUAUCUUUUACCGCCCUAUCCGCCUGGUUCAGGACAAUGGUGUUUUGACAGCAGGGUAUGCAACAUGGACGAAUGUUGUAUGCCAGUUUAUGAAGACGAUGGACCACGUGGGCGAAGAGGAGCGGCACCACCAGGAAAAUGUUUUAUAAGUACACCUCCUCUUCAAAGCAUGUGUACGCUGUACGCUAAAAAAAGGGCUGUAACCCGUAAAUGUCAUGAUUCUGAUGAUUGUGCCGAUAAUGAAUGUUGUACGACAUGGGUGGAACAAGGACCCAUAGUAGGCAGAGAGGUGUUUGAGGGAGUCUGUGAAAUACUCGGCCAUCAAAAUUCUGAAUGUUAUCCGGGAGAUCACGCUAAUGGUACUAAUGGUAAACCUGAUGGUAUUGUACCAAGUUGUCCUUGUGACGUUCCUUUUACAUGUAUACCAAUAGACUCAGUUGAUCACCAUGGCGGUCUAGGUGUUUGUGGGUAACUGUGUAAAUGGAGGAGGCUGACCUCAUUCACAGGAGUUUAAAUCUGUAUAUGUUUUACCAAUAUUAUGGAUAAAUAUGGCAGCUACCGGACUUAACGCUUGUUCGAGUGCCAAAUAAAAGAUUAUUGAUUA
Molecule: long non-coding RNA, 700 nt
Organism: Patella vulgata (common limpet)
Lineage: Eukaryota; Metazoa; Mollusca; Gastropoda; Patellidae
Exons: 5
Source: RefSeq, a predicted model, not a curated record